AGUGAACGCUGGCGGUAGGCCUAACACAUGCAAGUCGAACGGCAGCACAGUAAGAGCUUGCUCUUACGGGUGGCGAGUGGCGGACGGGUGAGGAAUACAUCGGAAUCUACUUUUUCGUGGGGGAUAACGUAGGGAAACUUACGCUAAUACCGCAUACGACCUACGGGUGAAAGCAGGGGAUCUUCGGACCUUGCGCGAUUGAAUGAGCCGAUGUCGGAUUAGCUAGUUGGCGGGGUAAAGGCCCACCAAGGCGACGAUCCGUAGCUGGUCUGAGAGGAUGAUCAGCCACACUGGAACUGAGACACGGUCCAGACUCCUACGGGAGGCAGCAGUGGGGAAUAUUGGACAAUGGGCGCAAGCCGGAUCCAGCCAUACCGCGUGAGUGAAGAAGGCCUUCGGGUUGUAAAGCCCUUUUGUUGGGAAAGAAAAGCAGCAGGUUAAUACCCCGCUGUUCUGACGGUACCCAAAGAAUAAGCACCGGCUAACUUCGUG
Molecule: ribosomal RNA, 492 nt
Filed under: uncultured bacterium
Lineage: Bacteria
Description: partial 16S ribosomal RNA
Rfam family: Bacterial small subunit ribosomal RNA
Source: RNAcentral